GGGUAGAUCUCUCAGAAACCAUCCAACCCCUUGAACCAAAUGUGACAUGUUUUCUUUGUUUGAACUUCAAUUUUUUAAGAGUGUUCUAUAGCAAUAGGGAAGUGUCCACACCAAAUUUGACAAUUUUUUGAGGAAAAUUGAAUUUUAUAUAUAUUUUAUAGCACAAAAGCCAGAAGUAAUGACACUUAAUCAUAGAAAUUAUGGUAUAUAACAUUUGAAUUUAUGGUUCAAAUGUUUAUUGAGGAUAAACAAUAUUAUUAUACACAUAAAAUAAGAAGUGGUGUAUUUAUUUAAAACCGAGGGAAUAUAAUAUGAAUUUAAUAGCUUAUUGGAAAUUCAUCACCAGUGGCGGUUUUUGUCGUGAGAACCGCCACUGAUAGGUGGUACACAAACUUAGGGUCUCCAAUGAUCCUGCGAAUCAUACCAAUGGCAGGUCUAGCUGCAAGCACCGCCACUGGUGCUCAAUAGCGGUGGCGGUUUGCCGUGUACUCACCGCCACUACUGGUUAAAGCGUAUCAGCGGCUUACGAAUUUAUACCAAAAUUCUCUCUCAAACUUCCUAUUAUUGAAAUAAAAAGAAAAAAUAGCAGAAAUAAAAAUGACAGAAAAAGAGGCGAGAAAAGAAAAAUCAUACCAGUGGCUGUUUCAGUUGCCCGCACCGCCACUAGUGCUCAGUACUAGUGGCGGUUCAAUUCAUUUGACCGCCACCAGUGGCGGUUCUUUCGUUUUCACCGCCACUAGUGCUCCUCAGCGCGAGCUUCCGCGAAGCGAGUUGGCAGUUUAGUCCCACCUCGCUUGUUUACAGCCGUUUCGACCAGCAUAAAUAGGAAUCUCCAACUCGGUCAUCACUUCCGAUUCAAUUUCCCGUAGUACUCUACUCUGUUCCUGGCCUAUGGGCCCGGUUGUGCUGUGUUCUUGGCCUGUGGGCCCGGUUGUCGGUCCGACUGCACUUGGUGGGCUCGGUCAAAGCCCUGUGGGCCCGGUCAAACCGGCAUUAGUAGGUAGUAGGC
RNAcentral lists this long non-coding RNA (1009 nucleotides) under Brachypodium distachyon (stiff brome). Its description in RNAcentral is "long non-coding RNA (BDIS_LNC002373)". Lineage: Eukaryota; Viridiplantae; Streptophyta; Magnoliopsida; Poales; Poaceae. The record is from RNAcentral.